This is a non-coding RNA of Cinara cedri, 1305 nucleotides long. Lineage: Eukaryota; Metazoa; Arthropoda; Insecta; Hemiptera; Aphididae. The record is from the annotation of a GenBank genome assembly.
UUCAAAAUAUAUGAAAACUUGAAAUUUCGAAAAAAUAUUAAACUUAGUUUUUUUAAAUAUAGUAAAAGUUUAAAAAUAUUUAAACCAUUGUUUAGACACAUUUAUUUUAAGAGUUUUUCUACGUAAUAUAAUAUAAUACGUAAAAAGUAUAUUAUAUUUGUGUUACGGACUCUGUCCUUCACUUGUAAAGUUUUUUAAUUGUAAAUUAAGAAUUCCACACGACAAGAUAUGAAAUCGGUCGUCACAUUAAGUAUACGCACGUUAGGGCCAUUAAUACGGGUGUGGUAAACCGACGACGUUCCUGCAACAACGGAUGAUACGUGUUUAUGGGCUAAAGGAAAAACGUGUCCGGGUACGGAAAACGUGCACCAGUAAACAACGGCUGCAGCGUUUACCAUCAUCUAAGCCCCGAUUGAGGUGACAACCAUAUAUAUGGAGACCGGGAUCAUCACCACGGGCAAAACCUGAACUCAGUCAGAAGUCGAGACAGCUACACCACCAUCGACGCACGAGAAGGGCCAGCACCGUCACCUCGAUACAAACCCGUACAGACAUUCCUUUAGUGUAGUUAUAUCUGAUAAUUACAACUAAGUCUUAACCCAUGUCUGAUGUCACAGGUUCUCCACUUACAAAUACAACUUGUUAACUGUGAUUUGUUCAAAUUCUAAUAAAAAAUCAUUUGUUGACCUAAAACACGUGUAUAUUUCCCUAUCAAAAGGCUGUAUCUGAACAGCCCAUAACAUUUGGUAAAUUUUUGUGUUUAGUAUUCAAUGCAUAGUCUACAAUAAAUGUUCUCUCUAUGAUUCUCUAUCUUUUACAAUGUAUUUGAGCUGUUUAUAUAAAUCAACUUCUGCAUCGUUUAUUAUUUGACUUAUAUUGGCCUUUCCUUGUCACGCUGCUCUUCUAUCAUACCUUCCAAUAUGAUAUUUAGAGUUCUUCGUUAUAUCUCACUUAUCAAAUGCCAAGAACUUGAAUUUUUGAUCUUCAAUUGUUUAAUAAAGAUCUCUUCUCCUUCACUAUAUCUAACACUUCUUUGUUUGUCUUCAUUUCCGUACAUUUUUUUUUUUUUUUUUUCAUAAGUCAAAUAACUAUUAAAAUGGAGUAGGUGUUAUGCCAGUGGUGUCAUAAAAGGACUUGACAAAUCAAUAUUUUUAUUUGACCUAAAAUUUUUCUAUGCAAGAAAAGUUGAUAAUAAUAAUUAUUAUGUAACUAUUUUUCAGAGUCGAAUAAAGGAUAUUUUGAACGAGUUUUCUUUCAUAUUUGUAAGUAUAUUUAAAUUUAAAUAUUUAUCAUUUUUCGUACACG